This 1198-nucleotide long non-coding RNA is filed under the name Cyanistes caeruleus (blue tit). Its description in RNAcentral is "lncRNA (ENSCCEG00000003561.1)". The record is from RNAcentral. Lineage: Eukaryota; Metazoa; Chordata; Aves; Passeriformes; Paridae.
GCUGCAGAGGAUGCAGAAGGGACUUUGGGGUUGCGAUGCCCUUUCCUGCACCGCUCUGAAUUCCUCAUUCCCACCCCCCAAACCCACCCUGCUGCCACCAAACAGUAAAUUUUUAAUACCUAGAAGAGAGGGCAAAAGGGAGGCACUCAGCAAGAUUUAAACAGUCAGGACCUUUGCACAGCAUGCUCUGGCUCUUUCCUGCAGCUCAGAGUGACUUCCAGUGUUAAAUUCCCCACACCUUUUUCUGCACUGAGCUGGCUCAGCCACUGGCUCUUCCCCUCCUUUCCCUGACAGGCUUUUGCACAACCAGCAGCUAACAUUUUUUAACAAUCAGCACAAUUUGGCUUCAACUUCUUCCUUUAAAAUACAAAACAUCCUACAAAUAUCACAGAAAGCAGCCUGCUGGCACUGAGAUGGAUCAUUUAGCCCAUUCCUAUUCCCCAGGGCCGGAUUUUCUUUAGUUACAGAUUAUUUUAAUUUCUUUUUGUUUUUAAUAAACUUUCUUUUUUUUCCCCCUAGGGAUGGAGACACUGCAAUGUGCCAAAGGCCAGUACAUCAUUGCUCUGGCUGGCAGGAACCUUUCCUACUGCCUUCCUUCAACCUCUCUUGUUACAACUUCAGCCUGUAUUAUAUUGAGGAAGCCGCUGGGACCAGGGCACACCCCGAGCACCGUGAUCCCACAAAUCCCUCAGGAGCAGCUGCUCCAGACAAGCAAUUCCUGGGAGAGCAGCACACUGGAGUCUGGAUACAGCUGUGGUCUCCUUCAGAGGGGGAAGUUCAUCUUCUAAAACAGGGCCUGCUCCUUCUCUGGCCUCAAAUAGAUUCCUUUUUAGCAAUCAAGGAGACAGGCUUUUUCUUACUAAAAAAAAAUUAAUGAACUUGCAAAAGCUUAUCUACUCUGUGCCAGGUCUUGUCCUAAUUUAUGGAUUCACCCCAGUAACAAGGCUCUCUGUGAAGAUCUGAAGGAAGGAGAGAUGGUUUUAUCCUGGAAGAUUAAAAGGUCUGCUCUUAAUUCCACUGAAAUGGAGAGUAGGACGACAUGGACACUCACUGUCCAUCUGUCCAAGAGCAGCACAACAAAGUGAGGAAACCUUUUGAAUUGAAAUAAGGCAAUUCUGGCUUAUAAAAUCAGUGGAUAUAAGCUGGAUAUGCACAGGCUAGAAAUAAAAUUCCUAAUGGAUGGAAAGUCUGGAAUAAU